Molecule: long non-coding RNA, 5271 nt
Filed under: Solanum tuberosum (potato)
Lineage: Eukaryota; Viridiplantae; Streptophyta; Magnoliopsida; Solanales; Solanaceae
Description: long non-coding RNA (STUB_LNC006715)
Source: RNAcentral
GAUCCAUGUCUGGAUACACUUGACGAAAUCUCUUUCUCCAUCUCUUGGUGAACAUGUCAAGCUCAUUUGAUCUUGGAACAUAAGAUUUUACACCCAGAACACCUUGCAUUGAUGACUCAAUUACUGAAGGAUCUACCAGGUCCAGAAGACUUGUUAGCACAUCUGUGAUUAUCCAUGCAUAUCCACUGCUCAUCAUCCCGGCUUCUUUGGCCUUGAGGAAAAGGCGGGAGGCAAGAGAUGAUUCUAAGUGUACGAUGAACACCCUGGUCUGCAUUGUAUUCAACUUGUAUAGCUCCCUGAAGAUCUGAUCAUCACUGGCUGAAGGAGAAAUACCACUUCUAUAGGAGACUAAACUGUUGUUUUCCAGCAAGGCAUCUGUCAAAUGUGGAAGCAUCCCGCUUCCAUAGGGGCUAUCCUCAUAGAUUACUACAACGUCCCUCCAAUUAUAGUUUUUAACAAUUGCCGCUAUGGCUUUAGUCUGGCUGGAAGAAGGAAGUGCUCCUCUGAUGAAGAAGGGAUUUUCCUUGACUGAAAGUGAAGGACUAGUUGCUGGAGAAAUGAUAGGGACUUUUACUCGGUUCCCUAAGUCAAUCACAAAAUCAGUUUGUGUAGACAUUUGUGGCCCAACGAUGGCUUGUACUUGAACAUCCUUUAGCAAGUAUAUGGCUGCACAUACACAAUCAGACUAUAAGGAAUUGUCUGAACAGAAAACCAAAGGGAAAAAAGAAGAAAAGAGAAAAAGAUAUGCUAGCUUAACAGAAGUAAAUCAUGGAGCUGAAUUAAUUUACCUGCAGAUGCUGCUUCAACAUCAUCUUUCUUGGAAUCCCUCAAGUGAGGGACUAUCCUAAUAGCUCUGGGACUAGUGGUGGCAUGGUAAUCUUCAAGAGCUAGUAAGAUAGAUAUGUGCAUUACUUUUGCCACAACUGUUUCCAUAUAAGAACUAUACCCACAUCCACCUUUACAACACUAGUUUCAUCUUCACCUCUUAUUGGAAUUACAUAGUGGCAAAAGCUAAUAAUGGAGACAAGUUGAAUGAAGAGAAUUAGGCAGUAGUAUCUUUGAUUUUGCAUUUGAAAAACUCUGGUAGCAAGUAGUUUGAGAGUUGGGAAAGAAGCAAUUCUGCUUGUGCAAGUAAUUAACCACUUUCUAGAGAUGUGUCUAAAAAUCUCUUAACUGUGUGGCUCUAGAUAUAUGGUUUCAGAAUCUGGGAACUUCAUAUACUUGGACCAGUAAAUACCUUGCAAAACUAUAAUAAGGCAAUGUAGAAUGAAAAGUCAAAGAUAAAGUUUCCAAAGAAUAAUUGAGAGAGGACUUUUCAUACAUUCUUAACUAGUAAGUUCCCUCCUCAAUUUGACCCAAUAAAAAUCUGACAAAACGAACGCAGUGACAAAAACUCAUUUGGUUGACCUUGGAAUGGUGCUUAUUUUACAUGGUUCCUGUUUAUACUUGGUCAUUAGUAACUUGCUUGGACACCAAAUAAUGAAACAAUACCCACCAUUGGAUCGAGUGGCCGAUCUAGGAUUUUCAUUCAUGGGGAUUUGUAAAUAAAAAUGUAAAAAGUAUUAACUUCCUUGGACACUCAAUAAUGAAACAACCACCACCAUUGGCUCUAGUGGCAUGCUGAUUCAGGAUUUUCACUCUGAGAGUUCCGAAAAAUAAAAAUGUAAAAGAUAAUGCAGUCCUUGAGAAUUGAACCUUGGACAUUGGGGUGUAUUUUGAAUUUCCUGAAUUGCAGAGCUAACCUUUUGCAUGUUAUUUAGGGGAUUCACAAUUUAUAUGUACAUCAACAUAGAAAAUAUAUCCUAUAUAUACAUUUUAAUUUUUUGUUGAAGGGGUUUGGGUGAACACUCUCCGGCUCUUGAUUGGCUCAUUGACACUGUUAUUGUUAGUGCAAGAAGAAACUGCUAGGGAAGUUGCCUAUGAUAUAUGUUGAAGCAGAUGGGAUAUAAGAUUCUGAUUUGAUGGGUUCAAUAUUUAGGUUCUUACCAUUGAGCCCAUUACACUUUGAAAUUAUGGGUUCAUGUUCUAUUAUUUAUUAAAAUUUUAGUGAUUUUUCACAUUAUACUUUUAUGAUCCGUGUCGAAAAUGCAAAUCUUAUACUUAAAUUCGCCAUCCGCCCUGUGUGACUGAACAUAUUACUGUUUGUCUUCCAUGUAGCAGUGAUCCUAAAACCUUUCCUUAUUUAUGAUCUGUAACUAUGUUCUUAUCCUCUAGGCUAGUUCUAGCACCUGCAUUAUAAAUUCACUACUACUAGAUCUUUCUUUCUUAUUUAAUUUGGGCUUUGCAGAUUGCUUUUUCUUAUCAAAAAAUUGCACAAAUCUCUCAUGUGGUUAUUCACAUAUAACCCCCAUUAUUUCAUAUUUUAUAUAAGAAUUAUGUAAUCAAAAAAUAAUUUGGCAUCUUAUGUGUUGAUUUUAUUGUUUUUGUUCUAUUAUUGUAACAUAACAAAACUACCUCAAUUGAAUUUCUUGAAAACGGAUGCAUGUAUUGAAUUCUUUCAUGCCACACAUAUAACUUCGUUUAAUUAUAUUCCAAACAUAAGUACAACAACAACAACAUAAGUAGUGAUGAAAAAAACAAAGUGAACAUAAAAUUGCUAGAAAAACAACUAAGAAAAAGUAAGGGUUGAAUCCAUCUAAUGGAAUCCUGGAGGCCACCUCUUGAUGCUAAUAUUAUGGCCAAGAGUGACAAAGAAAUAAUGUAAUCUGAUUUAACUAACCCUAAAGCUAGCUCAUCUCUGUACAAUCUCUUGUAGGGCCCUAUUCAGGUGUGUCACAAUUAUGUUAGCAGCUAUCUGUGUCAUCUUUCUUCAAUCGUGCCUGACAUUGUUUCAUGAACUGGGGUUCCAGUUUCUGUUGUAGAGAACCCUUCAGAAGCAGGGGAUUCUCCUAGGCCAUCGGAGAUUCCGAUUUCUGGGCUUUGCAAAGGAAGGUUGGGCGAUAAUUCAAUAGAAGCAUCACUUUCUGCAAACACUGUAGCCGUUAGGCUUUCAUUCCCUUCAGAUGGCUUUUUUGACAUAGAAUUAGAGUCGUCUCUCUUUAAAUCAAAGACUUUUUGCUAUUGCACAAAGCUUUUUUCCUAUUGAAUCAUCAGUGGCUAAGAUUUCUCUAUUCUGAUAAAGGAAGAUGACGAAGAAUACGAGAAGAGCGGAGCCUGCUGAUACACCAGCUAUGAGGAAAAGGCCCUUAAAACUAUCAAGCGUGAGGCUAGAUGCUGUAGCCAUUCCAUCUGGCUUUGGACAAUCUGUUUCGUUCCCAAACCAUUUCUGAAUUAUGUUAUUCAUAGUCUCUCCCUCUAUCACCUUCAAGACUGCUCUUGAGACGUCAGGUACCAAAGGAGAUCCUUUUGGAAAUGCCUGCAACAAGUUGUGGGAAAAUUAAAGAUUAGAUCAUUGAGUAAACCACUAACCACUCUAAAUAAAUGUCAACACUUUCUGAAACAUCAGUUAAGUACAACAAUCUUACAAAUCCAAAGCCGGCAGCCUUGUAUGUCGGACCAACCAUAAUAUACUUCCUGCAGUAUUUGUUCAGCAAGAGUCUGAGAUAAGGUAGUUCAUCAACAAUUGCACCAACACCUCCAUUUUUACUACCUCUUGAGAGUGCAUCAUUAUACUCUUCCAAUGUGCUAUAACUCCUAAAUUUGGAGCUGUCAAAUUUCAUGCGUGUCAAGACAUCUUUGACAAAGGAACCUUUUUGGUACCCUACAUAUUCUCCAUUCUUGAUGAGAUCAUUGAGGUCUGUUAUAGUAGGUUGAAGCUGUUGCACUGUUAACAUAGAUGUUAAGCUGGCUGUAUAGCUUGAUGUCAGCACCAGAACCACGAAAACCCACACAAUCAGCACAAAUCUUGAUAAGUUACUUGUUAUCUUCUCUUCUGCAACAACCAGUCAUAUAUAGGAUUUGUUGAGAAACAAGGAGAAAUCUUAAACUUUUGGUCUAUAAUUUGAUUUGAGUUAGAGACUUACUAUGAGCAAAAACGAGAGUUGAGAAGGAAAACCAAAAUAUCAUCCCAACUUGCUUGCGUUUGGGUCCUCGAAAAUGUUUGUUUACACGAUGUUCGAGUACCCAAACCACAAAACCAAUGAAGACGAAGAAUGCUCCUGUUGCUAUCCACAGCUCGGCCUUUAAAGGUUUCAAGAAGAUCCAAGCGUUUUUCCUAUCAUCAUUCCUUACAGGCACAACUGCAGAAAUACUCGACUCUGAAAAAGGUAAUGUGAAAUCUACAUACUCAGAUCGGCUUGCUAAAAUGGUAACAUCACCUACAACUGCAUCAUAUUCCUGGUUCAAGCAAACAUUGAUUAUUUCAGUAUUUAUUGUUGGUCGCAAAAGCAGAACAUAGAUAAGGAGUCCAAAAAAGGAGCAUGUAAGUGAGUUAUUCAGCUGAAGAGGUUAAUUUUACCUUAGAAGUGAUCUUGUGAACAAGAUCAUCAUAGUUUUGAGAAGUAGGGCUAUGUGCUAUUGGAAAUGGAAUAAAUUCAUAGGGGACAGCAUAUGGCAAAGAUAGGAUGACUUCUUUGAAGACAUCUGGACCUAAACCAGUUGCAAUUACUGCUUGUGUCUUUGGAUCUCUUUCCACUUUAAUGAAUUGCUCCAGCCCUCCUUUGUCUGGAACUCCAACCCUUAACUUCUUCCCACUUGUGGGUAUUUCCCAGCCUCUCGGAACAAUAGUAGAUUCACCAGGCCAAAUGAUGACCCCUAGUUGCUUAUUAUUAGUUUUAGCUAUUUUACCAUUCAUCUUCAGUUUAUGCAAAAUGCCAUCCUUCUCUGUCCAGAAUCCAACACUUUUCUCUCCUUUCCCAAUUAUAUUCACAAUCUGAUAUGGGGAUGGCUGCAGUUCUCUAUCAACGAUACGGAAAUCACCACUUAGUCUUGGUUUUAGCUCUGCGUUUUGCAUAAAGUCAAUGAGCAGAGAUCCCACUUCUGAGGUUCCAAGUGCGUCUAGGUCUGUUAUGUUCUCUCUAGUGUCUGGUUUCCUUAAUUUUGGGAUAGCAGUAGUGCCCGCUUUCUCUACUGCUUCUGCUAAUAAGGUGAUGCUAUCAUAUGCCCAUAGCCCGAAAACAUUGAGUUCUACUUGGUCCAUGUCUGGAUACUCUUGACGAAAUCUCUUUCUCCAUCUCUUGGUGAACAUGUCAAGCUCAUUUGAUCUUGGAACAUAAGAUUUUACACCCAGAACACCUUGCAUUGAUGACUCAAUUACUGAAGUAUCUACCAGGUCCAGAAGACUCGUUAGCACAUCUGUGAUGAUCCAUGCAUAUCCACUGUUCAUCAUCCCGG